Molecule: ribosomal RNA, 360 nt
Filed under: uncultured bacterium
Lineage: Bacteria
Description: bacterial SSU rRNA
Rfam family: Bacterial small subunit ribosomal RNA
Source: RNAcentral
AACGAACGCUGGCGGCAUGCCUAACACAUGCAAGUCGAACGAGACCUUCGGGUCUAGUGGCGCACGGGUGCGUAACGCGUGGGAAUCUGCCCUUGGGUUCGGAAUAACACAGAGAAAUUUGUGCUAAUACCGGAUGAUGUCUUCGGACCAAGGAUUUAUCGCCCAGGGAUGAGCCCGCGUAGGAUUAGCUAGUUGGUGGGGUAAUGGCCCACCAAGGCGACGAUCCUUAGCUGGCUGAGAGGAUGAUCAGCCACACUGGGACUGAGACACGGCCCAGACUCCUACGGGAGGCAGCAGUGGGGAAUAUUGGGACAAUGGGCGAAAGCCUGAUCCAGCAAUGCCGCGUGAGUGAUGAAGGCC